RNAcentral lists this ribosomal RNA (426 nucleotides) under uncultured bacterium. Its description in RNAcentral is "partial 16S ribosomal RNA". It matches the Rfam family "Bacterial small subunit ribosomal RNA", at positions 354 to 796 of the family's 1533-position model. The record is from RNAcentral.
GUGGGGAAUCUUGCGCAAUGGGCGAAAGCCUGACGCAGCAACGCCGCGUGGGGGAUGAAGGCUCUCGGGUUGUAAACCCCUUUCAGCAGGGACGAACUAAGACGGUACCUGCAGAAGAAGCCCCGGCUAACUACGUGCCAGCAGCCGCGGUAACACGUAGGGGGCAAGCGUUGUCCGGAUUUAUUGGGCGUAAAGAGCUCGUAGGUGGCUGAGUAAGUCGGAUGUUAAAUCCCCAGGCUCAACCUGGGACACCACCCGAUACUGCUCUGGCUAGAGUCCGGUAGGGGAGCGUGGAAUUCCUGGUGUAGCGGUGAAAUGCGCAGAUAUCAGGAGGAACACCAGCGGCGAAGGCGGCGCUCUGGGCCGGUACUGACACUGAGGAGCGAAAGCGUGGGUAGCAAACAGGAUUAGAAACCCUUGUAGUCC